Osmia bicornis bicornis is the source of this 1113-nucleotide long non-coding RNA. RefSeq lists it as uncharacterized. The transcript is spliced from 6 exons. The record is from RefSeq and is a predicted model, not a curated record. NCBI's taxonomy places the organism in Eukaryota, Metazoa, Arthropoda, Insecta, Hymenoptera, Megachilidae.
UACAUUCGUCUUCACGAUGUUCUUCGCUCAUGCAUUCUUAUGCAUCGCUAAUUUGCAUAAACUGUCCGAUUGUUUUGGAUUCUUCACUAAUGUCUUUUGUGCCUUUUUCUAAUAGUAGAAAUAAAUCCUCAUUUUUUAAUAACUUAAUGACCAACUAACUAACUAACUUUAAUUGUUAAUUAUCUUUAAAACAAUUAGCUCUACAAGGUGGCAAAAUUUCAUUAAUAGAAAAGUUGUUUACAAGUAUUCAUCGGUCGGUAAAUAUGUCUAAUAUGUCUAAAUAUCUAAAUUACUUAAAGUAAUCCAAAGUAGAUGUCACCAUUGUUGUUUUGAGUGUACCGAUUAUUUCAAAAUUUCAUUUGAUUAACGUAGUUAAAAAUAAAUGACAGGUUUCAAAAUGGAAUCCAGUGUACCAUCAAAAUUAAGAACCUGAAAGCAUUAUGGGCGUGCAAUAUAGUGACAGUAGAGUCAUGGCCGCAAAGCGUGACCGUUUAAUGCUUUCCUUCCGCAAACUUUGAUGCACGGCGAUCGUACCGCGAGGCAAAAGGGGCACAACAAGAAGCUUUUCAGAUUACUUUAAUCAGUUAAUUGUUGACAUUAGGAAAAAGAAAGGGGUGCAGACGGCGAGCAUUUUCACAAAGAUGAUGCAGAAUUAUCAUAAGAUAGGUGCGAGUGCAUCCGGAAAAUAGCAGCUGCGACGGAUAAUUAAAUUUGAUCAAGCUAAUGGGUAUUACCGGUGGACUUCCUCAACAAUGAAAUUUUGACGUUCACGGAAAACUUAACGAUUCUAUUGCCAACAUUAAUCGCACCUGAUCUCUGAGCCGGCGAUUAACGACUGGAAGCUCAUUUUGUUUAAGAUUUGAAGUUUAAAAAAGCCAGCAUUCAGAUGAUGAAACUAAUAACGUUUUCGUAUCCACGAAGAGGUGUCUUUUCACUAUUCACCUGGUCAUUUGUUGACCCCAAGAUUGCAAUAAUGAUGCACUAUAAUUAAAAGGAAAUCAUGAAUUUAAUUCAGUGGAUCCUCAGGAUGUUAAAAUCGAACUUAUGAAACAUCCGAAGAUUCUCCACUGUUUUAUACACGGUUCCUUGAUCACAGUUCAAACAAUUAUUUAA